Molecule: ribosomal RNA, 441 nt
Filed under: uncultured bacterium
Lineage: Bacteria
Description: partial 16S ribosomal RNA
Rfam family: Bacterial small subunit ribosomal RNA
Source: RNAcentral
CCUACGGGCGGCAGCAGUGGGGGAUAUUGCACAAUGGGGGGAACCCUGAUGCAGCGACGCCGCGUGGGUGAAGGAGCGUUUCGGCGCGUAAAGCCCUAUCGGCAGGGAAGAAGGAGGACGGUACCUGACGAAGAAGCCCCGGCUAACUACGUGCCAGCAGCCGCGGUAAUACGUAGGGGGCAAGCGUUAUCCGGAUAUACUGGGUGUAAAGGGGGCGCAGACGGCAGCGCAAGCCAGUAGUGAAAGCCCGGGGCCCAACCCCGGGACUGCUCUUGAAACUGCGCGGCUGGAGUGCAGGAGGGGCAGGCGGAAUUCCGGGUGUAGCGGUGAAAUGCGUAGAUAUCAGGAGGAACACCGGUGGCGAAGGCGGCCUGCUGGACUGCGACUGACGUUGAGGCCCGAAAGCGUGGGGAGCAAACAGGAUUAGAUACCCUUGUAGUC